GGCCAGUCACAGGUGGAACCAGUUGCCACUAAUUACCGAGUGGCAGCUCUCUGCCAGGUCGCUAUGGGGAAAGUAGCUGGUAUUUUGCAGGUCACUAUGGGGGUAAGAAUCUGAUAUUUAACAGGUCUGUAUGGGGUAAGUAUCUGAUAUAUUUAACCGGUCACUAUGGAGUAAGUAUCUGAUAUAUUUAACAGGUUAGUAUGGGGGUUAGUAUUUCAUAUUUAGCAGGUCAGUAUGGGGUAAGUAUCUAAUAUAUUUAAAGAGUCACUAUGGAGUAAGUGUCUGAUAUUUAACAGGUCAGUAUUGUUGUAAAUAUCUGAUACUUAACAGGUCAGUAUGGGGGCAUGUAUCUGACUUUUAUGGGGUAAGUGUCUGGUAUUUAAGAAGUAGGUAUCGGUUUAACCUCCUUGUUCUAAACCUGCAAUUAUUUAGCUUGAUUGCAACACUUUUGUCUGUUUCUACACCAAUCUGGCUUUGUACUGGUUGGUCAUUUGCUGGAAAUUGGACUUGCCAAGACUGCACAAAAUAUGUGUUUUAUGUGUGGAAUAUGUUACAGCAUUGUGAGGUGUAUGCCAUCUAAGGGGUCAAGUCCCCUUUUCAAGCAGUAUUCAAGCUUUUUGAUGUACCAGCAUGGACCGCAAGGGAAAGAGUUGAGAAACAGUCUAUAUUUUUGUUACCAAUUUGGAUGUAACUGCUUAUGAGCAAAAAUAAAAGUUGCCUGUCUGAAAUUGCCAAGACCGUAAGAGGUUGCUAUCAGCGAUCAGCAAAUGAUCCCUUUUUCUGGGGCUACAAAUCUUCACUCGUAUGUUCCAGGCAAACCAUGCCCAUUUUGUUUUAAAAAUUACAUUCAUGCUAUACUCUGUCAAUGUAUUGUUUGUUUUUAAUUUAUCAGGGUGUAAGAACAUGGCCUUUAUGCAGUCAAAAAAACUAAUCAUUGGAUUAACAGUUUAACUGAAGGCAGGAUUUCCAACCAAUAAAUAUGUAUAUCCCCAACUCAUAAAAAAACUGAGUCAUGCCAUGAUAUGUAGACCUAAUUGAGUUGGUCCAACUUAAUUUGA
Ictalurus punctatus (channel catfish) is the source of this 1058-nucleotide long non-coding RNA. Lineage: Eukaryota; Metazoa; Chordata; Actinopteri; Siluriformes; Ictaluridae. The record is from Ensembl.